This 482-nucleotide ribosomal RNA is filed under the name uncultured bacterium. Its description in RNAcentral is "bacterial SSU rRNA". It matches the Rfam family "Bacterial small subunit ribosomal RNA", at positions 32 to 521 of the family's 1533-position model. The record is from RNAcentral.
AAUCAACGCUGGCGGCGUGCCUCAGACAUGCAAGUCGAACGAUUAAACUUGCCUUCGGGCAAGAUAUAAAGUGGCGCACGGGUGAGUAACACGUAAGUAAUCUACCUUCGAGUGGGGAAUAACGUUCGGAAACGAACGCUAAUACCGCAUAAUGCAGCGGCACCAUAUGGUGACAGUUGUUAAAGGAAUUUAUUUCGCUUGAAGAGGAGCUUGCGGCAGAUUAGCUAGUUGGAAGGUAACGGCUUACCAAGGCUACGAUCUGUAACCGGUCUAAGAGGACGGUCGGUCACACUGACACUGAAUAACGGGUCAGACUCCUACGGGAGGCAGCAGUCGGGAAUUUUGGGCAAUGGGCGAAAGCCUGACCCAGCAACGCCGCGUGAAGGAUGAAGUAUUUCGGUAUGUAAACUUCGAAAGAAUGGGAAGAAUCAAUGACGGUACCAUUUAUAAGGUCCGGCUAACUACGUGCCAGCCGCCGCGGU